CAGCAGCCGCGGUAAUACGUAGGUGGCAAGCGUUGUCCGGAAUUAUUGGGCGUAAAGGGCUCGCAGGCGGUUUCUUAAGUCUGAUGUGAAAGCCCCCGGCUCAACCGGGGAGGGUCAUUGGAAACUGGGAAACUUGAGUGCAGAAGAGGAGAGUAGAGUUCCACGUGUAGCGGUGAAAUGCGUAGAGAUGUGGAGGAACACCAGUGGCGAAGGCGACUCUCUGGUCUGUAACUGACGCUGAGGAGCGAAAGCGUGGGGAGCGAACAGGAUUAGAUACCCCUGUAGUCCCUGUCUCUUAUAC
RNAcentral lists this ribosomal RNA (301 nucleotides) under uncultured bacterium. Its description in RNAcentral is "partial 16S ribosomal RNA". It matches the Rfam family "Bacterial small subunit ribosomal RNA", at positions 509 to 807 of the family's 1533-position model. The record is from RNAcentral.